Molecule: non-coding RNA, 26 nt
Filed under: Mus musculus (house mouse)
Lineage: Eukaryota; Metazoa; Chordata; Mammalia; Rodentia; Muridae
Source: RNAcentral
UGUCCAACCACAGGUCUUCCUGAGUC